Molecule: long non-coding RNA, 1546 nt
Organism: Gorilla gorilla gorilla (western lowland gorilla)
Lineage: Eukaryota; Metazoa; Chordata; Mammalia; Primates; Hominidae
Exons: 2
Source: RefSeq, a predicted model, not a curated record
AGUUAACAGUUCACCGUGAAGGUCUCUCAUAUUCACAGAGAGGCAAGGAGCCAAAAUACUUGGGGUAUUUUAAACUAUCGCUAGAAAUGCCACGGUGGGAACCUAAAGGAUACUUUUCAGAGGCAAAAAGGCUGUAAUAUAAUGCAUCAAAGGAGCCCCAAGAAGCUCUUAAAUCACCAAUUGUCUCCCGGAGCUUUGAGUAAGGAGAAAAAAGGAGAGCGCAUUUGCUUUGAUGGUGGACUUCACUACCACGCUAUUAAAGCACAUCAGCGUCCUAAUUGCAUGCACGGUACCACUUAGCAGCGCUUCCCGGAGAGCGCCCUGCGACCACUUCUCAUUGAUCAUGUCAGCGACGCUACCAAACCGCAUCUUUAAGCCACUGAAAUAGUUCUGCACGAUGGAUUACAAAGAACUCAGCGAAGGUAUCCGCAAUCUCCGAAUACCUCCCGAUGCCUAGAGUUUAAAAAGGACGUUCCUACCGCUUACCGGGAAUCAGUAAACCAAGGAUCAGCACCAAAGCCUCCCUUACCUUGGGCUCCGCGUCUAUUUGCAACGGGAAAGGACGCCUGGGCUGAUUAAGAGGCAAAAUAGAAAGGUGGGAGGAAGAACUGUAAGCGACUUAGGUCAGUUGUUUAAUAUCCGAAUUUCAUCUCCCACAGGAAUCAAUAUGACCCCCUCCCCCUUUUUUUCUUGUCGUCUUUUUGUUCCCUUGAAGCCUUCCUUCCACUUCCUACUGAUCAACAGCAGCACUCUUAAAGGAAGGACAUAAAUGGAAUGAGCGUGUGUGUGUGUGUGUGUGUGUGUGUGUGUGUAUGUGUGUGUGUGCGCGCGCGCGCACGCUGCGUUAGUUAAUGGGGUGGAGGACAUUUGAUAGAAAUGCUGGACUCUAGGAACCUAUGCCUUUUCUCUGGUCAACCUUGCCUUUGCCUCACUACCGAAGUCUAAUAUCGAAUUGCAACUCCAAACUAAAGCCAAGAUGUUUCCGAGACAGCGGGUUCAAGCCUGGAGACCUUGCUCCUGAUCCCCAAGUCGACUCCAGCCCGCGUUAUUAAACGCCCCUAAAUUCACACGCACAUGUAUCAGUGUGCCUGCGAAUCAUUCACGUGUGGCCACCCAGACGUGUCGAGAUGAAUUGGAACCACAGUGCAUAAACCUCGCAAGUAUCCCCGACCUCCCAACGCAACGGUAAACGUCUCCCGGCUUAAAAGCGGCAAAAACAUCCCCAGUGAAAGCAAAACGUUUACCUUGAAAUUUCAGUUCUCCGCUGGAUCAAAUCCGCACAUCCAUUCAGCGAGGUUGGGUCCCCUCCCCCUCCCUCCCUGUGCUUCCCCGCCCCCAUUCACCUCCCACCCCAUCUGAAAGCCCAUUGCAAAUUCUGUCCAGCCAGUAUUAAACUCCAGCGUUUACAACUUUAAUUCAGUUCUAGUUACCAAGGGUCGAAGAGCUUCCUCUCAACCCACUCCCUUUCCCUUCCUCCUUGCUAGCAAAGGAGACCAAAAAUUUGAGAAAAUAAAGUUGAAUGAGCCUGGGGAGGCUGACAUUCUGA